CCUACGGGAGGCAGCAGUAGGGAAUCUUCCGCAAUGGACGAAAGUCUGACGGAGCAACGCCGCGUGAACGAUGAAGGCCUUCGGGUCGUAAAGUUCUGUUGUUAGGGAAGAACAAGUGCUAGUUGAAUAAGCUGGCACCUUGACGGUACCUAACCAGAAAGCCACGGCUAACUACGUGCCAGCAGCCGCGGUAAUACGUAGGUGGCAAGCGUUGUCCGGAAUUAUUGGGCGUAAAGCGCGCGCAGGCGGUUUCUUAAGUCUGAUGUGAAAGCCCCCGGCUCAACCGGGGAGGGUCAUUGGAAACUGGGAAACUUGAGUGCAGAAGAGGAAAGUGGAAUUCCAAGUGUAGCGGUGAAAUGCGUAGAGAUUUGGAGGAACACCAGUGGCGAAGGCGACUUUCUGGUCUGUAACUGACGCUGAGGCGCGAAAGCGUGGGGAGCAAACAGGAUUAGAUACCCUGGUAGUCCACGCUGUAAACGAUGAGUGCUAAGUGUUAGAGGGUUUCCGCCCUUUAGUGCUGAAGUUAACGCAUUAAGCACUCCGCCGUCGGGAGGUACGGUCGGCGAAGACGUAGAAACGUUAAAACGGUAAAGUUAGUACGGCGUGAGACGUGCCGAACGGACGACCGACGAGGGGAGGUAGG
This 643-nucleotide ribosomal RNA is filed under the name uncultured bacterium. Its description in RNAcentral is "bacterial SSU rRNA". The stretch from base 1 to 545 matches the Rfam family "Bacterial small subunit ribosomal RNA", at positions 338 to 873 of the family's 1533-position model. The record is from RNAcentral.